RNAcentral lists this long non-coding RNA (498 nucleotides) under Ornithorhynchus anatinus (platypus). RNAcentral describes it as "lncRNA (ENSOANG00000046123.1)". The record is from RNAcentral. Lineage: Eukaryota; Metazoa; Chordata; Mammalia; Monotremata; Ornithorhynchidae.
AUAACGCCAGGCUAAACACGGAGAUGGGGAUGCUGGUUCCGAUAACUAAGCCAACUUCGAAAGCACCAAGAGACACGGUCUUUUCGGAAAUGCCAAUUGGCUGAUUGACUGGUUCAAGGAAGAAGCUUCAGGAAGAGGUGAAGAGAGACUCACCUGAGGGGAGUCCCAGCGAUUCUGUCAGAACUCAACAGAGAGACAGCUGUUCUAGCUGGGUGAGCAGAGCAAAGGAAGGAUUCCCACAAAGGAGAUCCCAGUUCAUAUGGCAGGACCAACCAGUGGGAGGAGUAAAAUAACAGGAACACCUGGACAAGGAAACCAAGUGGGUGAAUCAAAAAGAUUGACAAAGUCCUCUUCUUGGACUCAAGAGGUUGGUUAGAUUCAUUUCUCCAGCAAGCCUUCCCUUAUCUAGUAAGUCUGUCCCAACUCCCCAAAUCAUAACAACCCAACUGUCUUUUCUACCACUUAGGUAUUCAUUUAUAUAUUGUAUAUUUAUAAGUA